Molecule: transfer RNA, 72 nt
Filed under: Clostridia bacterium
Lineage: Bacteria; Bacillati; Bacillota; Clostridia
Also listed under: 1 other name
Description: tRNA-Phe
Rfam family: tRNA
About the family: Transfer RNA (tRNA) molecules are approximately 80 nucleotides in length.
Source: RNAcentral
GGUUGAGUAGCUCAAAGGGCAGAGCAUUGGUCUGAAGAGCCAAGGUUGUAGGUUCGACUCCUAUCUCAACCG